RNAcentral lists this ribosomal RNA (478 nucleotides) under Auricularia polytricha. RNAcentral describes it as "eukaryotic LSU rRNA". It matches the Rfam family "Eukaryotic large subunit ribosomal RNA", at positions 114 to 593 of the family's 3401-position model. Lineage: Eukaryota; Fungi; Basidiomycota; Agaricomycetes; Auriculariales; Auriculariaceae. The record is from RNAcentral.
UUUGAAUCUGGCGGUCUCAGGCCGUCCGAGUUGUAAUCUAGAGAGGUGUUUUCCGUGCCGGACCGUGUACAAGUCCCUUGGAACAGGGCGUCAUAGAGGGUGAGAAUCCCGUCCAUGACACGGACUACCGGUGCUCUGUGAUACACCUUCAAAGAGUCGAGUUGUUUGGGAAUGCAGCUCAAAAUGGGUGGUAAAUUCCAUCUAAAGCUAAAUACAGGCGAGAGACCGAUAGCGAACAAGUACCGUGAGGGAAAGAUGAAAAGAACUUUGGAAAGAGAGUUAAACAGUACGUGAAAUUGUUGAAAGGGAAACGCUUGAAGUCAGUCGCGUCUGCCAGGACUCAGCCUUGCUUCUGCUUGGUGCAUUUCUUGGUGGAUGGGCCAGCAUCGAUUUUGAUUGCCGGAAAAGGGCGGGAGGAAUGUGGCAGCUUUUGCUGUGUUAUAGCCUUCCGUCGUACACGGUGGUUGGGAUCGAGGAC